Long non-coding RNA from Schistocerca gregaria, 289 nucleotides. RefSeq lists it as uncharacterized. The record is from RefSeq and is a predicted model, not a curated record. NCBI's taxonomy places the organism in Eukaryota, Metazoa, Arthropoda, Insecta, Orthoptera, Acrididae. The transcript is spliced from 3 exons.
CCCUUAGCGGCUCGCCAUCUAACAAGUGUUCAUGAUGUCGGCUUUCAGGCUUAAAUCUUUUUUAAUGUGUUACUUGUUUCACAUCAGGCCCUGCGUGUGCUCCAUCAAUUUCAAUCACUUUCAUCAAUAUGGUAUUGUUCAAAGGUAUUGUUCCUCCAAAAGGUUGCGAUGAGUUCAUGUACAGUGGACAGAAAGGCUUGCAGAGGCUCUUUGUUCUUGCCCUACUGUGUGUGCCUUGGAUACUUCUUGCAAAACCCAAUGUUUCGAUAAUGAGGCACCGCAAAGCCCA